RNAcentral lists this ribosomal RNA (440 nucleotides) under uncultured bacterium. Its description in RNAcentral is "partial 16S ribosomal RNA". It matches the Rfam family "Bacterial small subunit ribosomal RNA", at positions 338 to 795 of the family's 1533-position model. The record is from RNAcentral.
CCUACGGGAGGCAGCAGUGGGGAAUAUUGCACAAUGGGGGAAACCCUGAUGCAGCGACGCCGCGUGAGUGAAGAAGUAAUUCGUUAUGUAAAGCUCUAUCAGCAGGGAAGAAAAUUACGGUACCUGAGUAAGACGCCCCGGCUAACUACGUUCCAGCCGCCGCGGUAAUACGUAGGGGGCAAGCGUUAUCCGGAUUUACUGGGUGUAAAGUGAGCGUAGACGGCAGUGCAAGUCUGGAGUGAAAGGCGGGGGCUCAACCCCCGGACUGCUCUGGAAACUGUACGGCUGGAGUGCAGGAGAGGUAAGUGGAAUUCCUAGUGUAGCGGUGAAAUGCGUAGAUAUUAGGAGGAACACCAGUGGCGAAGGCGGCUUACUGGACUGUAACUGACGUUGAGGCUCGAAAGCGUGGGGAGCAAACAGGAUUAGAUACCCUUGUAGUC